GAUGAACGCUGGCGGCGUGCCUAAUACAUGCAAGUCGAGCGAACAGACGAGGAGCUUGCUCCUCUGACGUUAGCGGCGGACGGGUGAGUAACACGUGGAUAACCUACCUAUAAGACUGGGAUAACUUCGGGAAACCGGAGCUAAUACCGGAUAAUAUAUUGAACCGCAUGGUUCAAUAGUGAAAGACGGUUUUGCUGUCACUUAUAGAUGGAUCCGCGCCGCAUUAGCUAGUUGGUAAGGUAACGGCUUACCAAGGCAACGAUGCGUAGCCGACCUGAGAGGGUGAUCGGCGACACUGGAACUGAGACACGCUCAAGACGACUACGGGAGGCAGCAGUAGGGAAUCUUCCGCAAUGGGCGAAAGCAUGGCGGAGCAGCGCCGAGUGAGUGAUGAAGGUCUUCGGAUCGUAAAACUCUGUUAUUAGGGAAGAACAAAUGUGUAAGUAACUAUGCACGUCUUGACGGUACCUAAUCAGAAAGCCACGGCUAACUACGUG
Molecule: ribosomal RNA, 497 nt
Filed under: uncultured bacterium
Lineage: Bacteria
Description: partial 16S ribosomal RNA
Rfam family: Bacterial small subunit ribosomal RNA
Source: RNAcentral